AGCACUUUGCGUCUCCAGCCCCCAUAACCACUACCCGAAAAGGGGAUAGGAACAAGUGGUACCCCAGGGACAUCAGAAGAGUACAAAAAAAGGGGACUAGAGGAAUCUACAGUGGUAGGAAUACCAGUGCUUGUGCUAGAAGCCAUAAUGAACCGACUUAAACGAAUAACUUGUCAACAAACAGGAUUGUACUACCAAAACAAGUAUACAAACACAGUAACUAACAAACAAACAACAGUUAGGUCAAGUAAUCACAGAUACCACAAGAUGCUCACAAUUACAGAGUCAAGUAAUCACACAUAAAUCAAGGAUAAGGACAGAGUUGCCCUCCUUCUUCGCAACCGG
This 345-nucleotide long non-coding RNA is filed under the name Nicotiana benthamiana. RNAcentral's name for it is "long non-coding RNA (NBEN_LNC033716)". Lineage: Eukaryota; Viridiplantae; Streptophyta; Magnoliopsida; Solanales; Solanaceae. The record is from RNAcentral.